RNAcentral lists this ribosomal RNA (119 nucleotides) under Octodon degus (degu). The record is from RNAcentral. Lineage: Eukaryota; Metazoa; Chordata; Mammalia; Rodentia; Octodontidae.
GCCUAUGGCCAUACCACUUUGAACAUGCCUGAUGUUGUCUGAUCUCAGAAGCUAAGCAGGGUUGGGCCUGGUUAGUACUUGGUUGAGAAGCAAUGCCUCAACUUGGCUUGGCUUGAGCG